This is a non-coding RNA of Meleagris gallopavo (turkey), 2862 nucleotides long. NCBI's taxonomy places the organism in Eukaryota, Metazoa, Chordata, Aves, Galliformes, Phasianidae. The record is from RefSeq and is a predicted model, not a curated record.
UUGAAUAGCCACACUCAGCUAUCCUGGUGAAAUCCUAAGCAGUUUCCCAAGCAUCUAGGCUUUUAAAGAAAAAUGCUUUCAAAAUGAUAUUUAAAGUAUAAUUAUAUAAUUCUUAUAACUCAAUACUGUAAUGGAAACAUUAACUCAUUAGAAACCCACCAUAGUAUUAGUCUGUAAGUCCACAGUUUUGUAAAAUUGUCUCCGUAGCCCACUCGUGUACAUGAAUUGCUCUAAAGCACGUGAUUCCCACCUGGAAAUCCAAAUAAACAAUUACUUCUCUAAUCCCAUUUCCACCAAGAAAGCUAUGCAAGGCUCAGGUGUGAGCAGUUUGUAAUCAUUAACAAUGCCACUUCUUUCCUGGAGAACAUGGGCUGCACUGUUAUCGUCAGGACACUUCUGCACCUGGAUACAAUCAGUUCACAGGUGAAGUGUGUUUAAAGCUGAGCCUGAAAGGGAGAUGGGGAAAGGGUUAGAGUUGUAGUAGAUUUUCUAGUAGCAACGGAGGCAAAUCAAGAGGAGAAAAGAAAAUAACAUGCCUGAGAAAAUGAAAGUAUCGAGAUGCAAGUAUCUAAGUACAGAGUCACAAUGUUUAUGUAGUUGACGCUGUGAUGGAAUCUCUUCUCCAUAAGCAAAGAUCUUCACAUUCAACUCCAUAGUCCUGAUAUCCUCAGAUGGAGGUCAUUUUUGAGGUGUCUUCUGCUGCUAAACUAUUACUUCAAUUGCACUUUUGUGAUGUCUGAAACUGUGCUAACCUACAGGGAUUACAUGGUGAAUCUUUCUUUCCUAAAGAACCAUAAGCAACAGCCAGCAACUAUGUUAGGAAUUUCAACCACUCUGGUCAAGCAGUAAACUGCGAAUUAUUUACUUAUGAAGCUUUCUCACUGGUUAUGCUGUGCUCUUCUAUCGUAUGGUCGUUUACACUCACCCUCCAGAGUGAAUCAUUGCUAGGACAGUUGCCUAAGACCAUUUUUUUUUAACUUGCUUUUUUACACUUAGUGAUAUUUGCUCAGAAAGUUGUUUAGUUCUUCCUGCAUGUGUGCUAAAAAAUAUCUUUACCACCCUUUGAGUCCUAAGAUCAGUUCGUGCCUGUAUGGUUUGACAGCUGUACAGGUGGAUUUAGAGAGUCCAUUUCCUUAUCUAUAGCAAUUUAUCAUCUGCCUCUGAAGCUUAAGGCCUAGAAAUAUUCUGUAUCCACAGGUAUACCUCACAAGCUCAUAAACACAGGGAAUAAAGUGACAUGAACUCUUAUAUUUCCUUACUCCUUGCUGGACUUGCUUGAGAGGAAACCUUUUGUAUGCUACGAAGCAAAUGGGCCGUGGAGUUCUCUUAAUUCUCCACCUACAAAUUAUGUUUCUAAUUCAUCCUCUGUUCUGCUUUGCCAGAGAGUUUCUUUUCUGUUUUCUACCAGAAGAGAUAAAUGGACCCAAAAGACUUAAAGUAUUUGAUCUUCUGAAACCUUUGAAACUGUUAAUUGACUUAAAUUGUUAUGUUAGUUAAUUGUUAAAUCCUCCAUAGGAUUUUAGGUUUAGGGUAAGGAACCAAUGUGAGAAUUGAAUUCUAAAGUCAUCGAUUCUCACACACUUCUUCAGCUGUCUUUGCUACCAUUAACAAUACUAUUGGUAUUGAUAUAAUUCUUUGAUUUCUUUUGUGAUUUUUUUCAUCUGACCUUAAGUUGUAAAUUCCUGAGUCUUUUUUUCUUCUAAAUCUUUAACUUGCUCAGGAAAUGUGCUCCUACUAAAUGUUUGCAUAGUGUUAUCCUGUAGCCCUUUCAAUACCCUCUGUGCCACAACUGAUUGUGAGUAUGCCUUGGAGGCUUGUGGUGGGUUUUUCAUUCGAUUGAAAUGCCUUUUUUUAAGGCUUGAGGCACUCAUUUCCAUGUUUGAGAUGUGAUAAACAAAACCAGUGGUUCCAUGGAGACAAACAUGCUACAACAUCCAACUCUAGCACUAAAUAAAACUCUUAAAAAUAAGUGUGCCAUGACAAAGUUACAUCAGAAAUUCUAACAUAAACGGUAUGUUGUCUAUGCCACUGUACACAUGCGCAACUUUCCUCUGGUGGUAACUGAGAAUGCUAAGGGAAUAUAUGAAUUUUCUGUCCUCUCUUACUUUGCUCAACUGAGGGAAAUGACUUGCAAAAUAAAGGAUUGUGGGAAAGGUGAAUGCUAAAACACUCUUUAAUUAGAGAGGGAAAGGAGAAACUAGUAUAUUAAGAUAGGCAAACAACUACUUAUUAUUGGAAGUUUAGUUGCCCUCCUGAGAAACCCUAACAGAAGGUGUUGUUUGCUUUGCUGUUGUUUUUUUUCCCUCAAUAAAUUCUCAUGGAGUCUAGAACGAGGUGGUACAGAAUUCAAAUCUAUGUAUUGAUUUUUGUGUGUGACUGUGAACAUUUGUUCUGCAGUUCUGCUCAAAUUGCUAAAGGAAGACCCAGCAUCAGAAUUAUCUUUUGGCAGUGCUUACUCCUCUCCAGUGAUUUCUAGCACACAUUCACCAGCUCAGUUAAAUCCCUGAAGUCAGGUGUAUUCAUGCCCUAAGUGAAAGUGAACUGAAUGUUGGAAACAGUAAGAGCUCUCUGUUUCACUGGACUGUAUAUAUUGCUUUGUAGAUGACUAAUGUUCUAUAACAAUGGAAGUACAUAAGAUUUUCCUAUAAAUUAUCUCAUUGUAGAAUAUUCUAAAUACCUCGUGUGUUUAUGCACACUCAUAUUUAAUUAAAUAUAAAUGGAAACGUAUUCCACAGUUGUGUGAACUAAAUCCAUAGUAAUUCAUACACAUGGUGCUUCAGGUUUCCAUAAUCUAAAGAUUAAAAGAAAUUGCCUCAGUUUGGCCUAGUGUGCUCCUUGGUGUAUUAGAGGCUUCACCUUGGC